Molecule: ribosomal RNA, 253 nt
Filed under: uncultured bacterium
Lineage: Bacteria
Description: partial 16S ribosomal RNA
Rfam family: Bacterial small subunit ribosomal RNA
Source: RNAcentral
UACGAAGGGUGCAAGCGUUAAUCGGAAUUACUGGGCGUAAAGCGCGCGUAGGCGGUUUGGUAAGUGUGAUGUGAAAGCCCCGGGCUCAACCUGGGAACUGCAUCACAUACUGCCAAGCUAGAGUACGGUAGAGGGGGGUAAAAUUCCACGUGUAGCGGUGAAAUGCGUAGAGAUGUGGAGGAAUACCAGUGGCGGAGGCGGCCCCCUGGAUCGAUACUGACGCUGAGGUGCGAAAGCGUGGGGAGCAAACAGG